CACUUGCCUAGCAUGCAUGAGGCCCUUGGUUUACUUGCCAGUACUUAAAGCAAACCUUAGGCAAUGCUUGCUUUCUUUGCUGCUGCUAUCAUGAAAUACUGACUAAGCCAGGCAGUUGUGGCAGGCAGAUCUCUAAGUGUGAAGUCUACAAAGUGAGUUCCAGGACAGCCAAGGCCACACAGAGAAACCCUGUCUUGAAAAAAAACAAAAUAAAACCAACAACACAAAGUCCCCAAAACAAACAAGCAAACAAAAAACACUCAAAUGAAAAGCAACCGGGGAGGAAAGUGUUUAUUGGGUUUUCUAUUCCAGGUCACAAUUCAUCAUCAUCCGAAGAAGGCAGGGCAGGAACUCAAGACAGGGACUUGGUGGCAGGAACCAUGAAGGAAGGCUAUUGCCUGGCAGACAGAGUAAUAUUCAGUUAGCUUCCUUAUCUAGCCCAGGACCACCUCUACAUAGGGAAUGAUACUGCCCAUGGUGAGCUGGACUUCCUCCUCCUCUUCCUCCUCCUCCUCUUCUUCUUCCUCCUUCUCCUCCUCUACUUCCCCUUCCUUAUUUAUUUAUUUAUUUAUUUAUUUAUUUAUUUAUAGACAGGGUUUCUCUGUAUAGCUCUGGCUGUCCUGGAACUCACUUUGUAGACCAGGCUGGCCUUGAACUCAGAGAUCUGCCUGCCUCUGCCUCCCAAGUGCUGGAAUUAAAGGUGUGUGCCACCACCGCCAGGCUUUCUUUUUAUUUUUGAGACAGAGUCUCUGACUGUCCUGGAACUCUUCACAAUGUAGACCAAGCUAACCUUGAACUCACAGAGAUCCAACUGCCUCUCAAGUGCUGGGAUUAAAGAUUUACUCCAUCAUGCUCAGCUAGGCUGGACCCUCUUAAAUCAAUUAAAAAUCAAGACAGUCUCAUGUGCUCAUACCAACGUGAUAAAUUGCUCCAUUGAGCCUCCUUCUUCAGGUGACUGUAACCGAUGAUAAGUUGACACUGUAUACUGGCUGGUUUUGUGUGUCAACUUGACACAAGCUGGAGUUAUCACACAGAGAGGAAACUCCCUUGAGGAAAUGCCUCCAUGAGAUCCAGCUGUAAGGCAUUUUCUCAAUUAGUGAUCAAGGGUGGAAGGGCCCAUUGUGGGUGGGGCCACCCCUGGGCCAGAAGACCUGGGUUCUAUAAGAAAGCAAGCUGAACAAGCCAGGGGAAGCAAGCCAGUAAGUAGCACUCGUCCAUGGUCUCUGCAUCAGCUCCUGCUCCCUGACCUGCUUGAGUUCCAGUCCUAACUUCCUUGGUGAUGAAUAGCAGUAUGGAAGUGUAAGCCGAAUAAACCCUUUCCUCCUCAACUUGCUUCUUGGUCAUGAUGUUUUGUGCAAGAAUAGAAACCCUGACUAAGACAAAUUGGUACCAGCAUAGUGGGGUAUUCCUGUGACAACCUGACCGUGUUUUGGGGAGGACUGUGGAAGGACUUUGGAACUUUGGCCUAGAAGAGCCAUUGGGUGUUAAGAGCUCUGUGGGAUGUUGUGUAGGAGCUUGGAAGAUAAUGUUAAGAACAGUGAAGAAAAAUGGAGGCCUGGCUUGUGAAAUUUCAGAGGGAAGAUUAAAGACUCUUACCAGGGCCAUUGCAGUUUUGAUUGUGAAGAUUCUGUGGUUCUGGUUAGCUGGGGCUGAAGAAUCAGCAGUGAUUAACAAGAUACCAGAACUACUAAAGCAAUCCUUUGCAUUACUGGGACUAUUGAUGCUGGUUAGCUGGAGCUUAGAAAUUAGCAGUGAUUAAGAAGAGACCAGCAUCACUGAGCUGAAAUCUUCUGGGAGUUUUUUUCUGAGAGUACAAAGAAACUGUGUUCCAGAGGCAGCCAAGGUUGUACCUUGUGCAGCAGCGGGGCUUGGUAAUGUGGGUAAUGUGUAAGAGUCACCCAGGUGGUACUGGUUUUGAAGGCAUGAAGGGGUCAUGAAGAGCAGUUGAGGCUUGGCACUAUGAGAGACCAUGGAAGGCCAUUGGUGAAGGUGCAGCCUCAGUUGCAGUUGAUGGCCCAGGACUGAAGGGGUCAUGCAAAGGAGUUGAGGCUUGGCACCAUGAAGAGAGCCUAUGAGAGGCUAUUGGUGAAGCCUAGAUGCAGUGGAAGACAGCAGUGUUUGGGGAUGCCAGUACCAUGAGAUGACCACCAAGAAUAACAGCAGCAGUGGAGUACAGGCAGCUGGAGCCUAGAAGACAAAGUGUGAGCUACUAAGGGCAGAGCUGGAGAAGUGACACAGCCCUUGGAGGAGCCCAGAAGAUUGUGAGUGGGUCCCAGACAUUGAACAGUUAGAGUUUGAUUUUGAUUGUGACUAUGCCCUGAUACUUUUCCCUCUUGAAGUAAGAAAGUAUUUUAAUGGCGCUCACGGUUAAAAGACUUGGAACUGUAAAAAGACUUUGAAUUUUAAGAGAUUGGAUGUUUUAAGGGGAUUGAAAUUUUAAUAUGUAAGAAUUUGCAAAGACUGUAGGACUUCUAAAGUUAUUUAGAUCUUGGGGAUGAAUAAGAAAGUAAGGGUUGAAGCUUAAUAGUGAUGUGUGUGUGUGUCAAGGGAAUAGAAUCCUAAGACACAUUGCUAACCAGUCAGGUGGUUUCCUCAAAGCCUGGACUUCCAGCUUCUCCUGGACCCUAAACCAUGCUGACGGCAGGAGCUCCACCAUAGCUUCUGCCCAGUUCUCUGGCUAUCUUCCCAAGUCUUGGGCCUUAAGAGCUGCAGUGAUAGAGGGAAGAUUUAAACCUACAACCCAGCUCCCAGAGGCCACCACCCUGUAGCUAGUCCUAGGGGAAAUCUUUGAGAGAUGAAAAGCCUAAGGCCUAGCAGGUGGACAGACAGACUGCCAUGCCAAAGACAGUGACUGUGCACUGUGGGGGAAACGGCCUGGGAGCCAGAACUCGCAGACUAGGUUGGAAACUUCCUAUUUCUUUGACCUAGGGUUCCCUCUGUUCAGAAUGCUCUCGCCCUUU
RNAcentral lists this long non-coding RNA (2960 nucleotides) under Mus musculus (house mouse). Its description in RNAcentral is "long non-coding RNA chr15:80039456-80042416". Lineage: Eukaryota; Metazoa; Chordata; Mammalia; Rodentia; Muridae. The record is from RNAcentral.